AAAACAUAGCCCCUUGUUAUACUAUAAGGGGUAUCGCCUGCCCAAUGGAAAUUCUCUCAAUGGCCGCGGUAUCUUGACCGUGCAAAGGUAGCAUAAUCAUUUGUCUCUUAAAUGGGGACCUGUAUGAAUGGCAUUACAUUUUCUAACUGUCUCCUCUUCCCUCCUUAUAAACUUCUACUAACGUGAAGAAGCGUUAAUAAAAAAGAAAGACGAGAAGACCCUGUCGAGCUUAAACUACUUAGAGAAUAUAUAAAUCCUUUAUAAGAACAUUUUUUUCUCAAAAGAAGUUUUGGUUGGGGCAACCAUGGAGUACAAAAACCCUCCAGCAAAAUAAAAAGAUAAUUCUAUCACAUAUAUUACAAAUUAGACCCAGAAAUACUGGUAAACAGAAAUAGUUACCGCAGGGAUAACAGCGUCAUCUCCUUUAAGAGUUCACAUUGACAAGGAGGAUUGCGACCUCGAUGUUGGAUUGGGGCUACCCAGGGGUGCAGCCGCUCCUAAGGU
RNAcentral lists this ribosomal RNA (504 nucleotides) under Staurocucumis liouvillei. RNAcentral describes it as "partial 16S ribosomal RNA". It matches the Rfam family "Bacterial large subunit ribosomal RNA", at positions 1810 to 2571 of the family's 2925-position model. The record is from RNAcentral. Lineage: Eukaryota; Metazoa; Echinodermata; Holothuroidea; Dendrochirotida; Cucumariidae.